This 708-nucleotide ribosomal RNA is filed under the name Pseudogymnoascus sp. Its description in RNAcentral is "partial large subunit ribosomal RNA". It matches the Rfam family "Eukaryotic large subunit ribosomal RNA", at positions 86 to 815 of the family's 3401-position model. The record is from RNAcentral. Lineage: Eukaryota; Fungi; Ascomycota; Leotiomycetes; Thelebolales; Thelebolaceae.
ACGGCGAGUGAAGCGGUAACAGCUCAAAUUUGAAAUCUGGCCUCACGGUCCGAGUUGUAAUUUGUAGAGGAUGCUUCGAGCAUGGUCUGGCCUAAGUUCCUUGGAACAGGACGUCAUAGAGGGUGAGAAUCCCGUAUGCGGCCAGGUGCCUACGCUCAUGUGAAGCUCCUUCGACGAGUCGAGUUGUUUGGGAAUGCAGCUCAAAAUGGGUGGUAAAUUUCAUCUAAAGCUAAAUAUUGGCCAGAGACCGAUAGCGCACAAGUAGAGUGAUCGAAAGAUGAAAAGCACUUUGGAAAGAGAGUUAAACAGUACGUGAAAUUGUUGAAAGGGAAGCGCUUGCAACCAGACUUGCGCGCGGCCGAUCAUCCGGUGUUCUCACCGGUGCACUCGGCCGUGCUCAGGCCAGCAUCGGUUUUGGCGGCUGGAUAAAGGCCCUAGGAAUGUGGCUCCUCUCGGGGAGUGUUAUAGCCUAGGGUGCAAUGCAGCCUGCUGGGACCGAGGACCGCGCUUCGGCUAGGAUGCUGGCGUAAUGGUUGUAAGCGGCCCGUCUUGAAACACGGACCAAGGAGUCUAACAUCUAUGCGAGUGUUUGGGUGUCAAACCCAUACGCGUAAUGAAAGUGAACGGAGGUGAGAACCCUUAAGGGUGCAUCAUCGACCGAUCCUGAUGUCUUCGGAAGGAUUUGAGUAAGAGCAUAGCUGUUGGGAC